UUUUUUUUUUUCCAAAGUAAUCACAUAUCUUGAGGUGCAGGGUGUGACAUAAUUAAACUUGUUUUUGUCACAGCGUGGUUCGGUGCCAAAAAAUAAAGAUGAGGAGGUUGUGUGAAAGACAGGCUUAUUUUCAGCUCUGGGCUGUUAGUCACCUGCUCUCACCCUGGGGUCCUGCAGGGGAUCAUCUUAUUUCUUCUCCGUGCAAAGAAAACAAAUAGGCAAUGGUUCAGCCUUCCCAGGUUGUCAGCGCCUGACUCCACGUCUCUGCCUUGUGCCAACAGACUCAGGAUUCAAGGACCUUUGACAGCAUCUUAGCUGUGGGGCACAGACCAUAUUUGAGAUUUUUAAGGAAAAUCGAGUUCAAUAGAAAGGGAACAGCCUCUGGGGUUCUUGCGAUUUUUUAGUUUGGACGGUAGCCUGUCGCCACGACCUGAAAACAAGUGUUGGCUUCAUCCAAGGCGCCAGUGUGGGGGCUUGUGUGUGUUUCUCGGGGCCACCGCAAGGCACUUCCUCAAGCUGGAGGUCUUGGAAUGAGAGACACGCACCUCCUCAUGGUGCUGGAGGCCAGAGGUACGUCCACAUCAAGGUGUCAGCUCGGCUGCAGUCCCUCCAAGGAACCGUCCUCCCCUGGGUCCCCCUAGUUCUUGAUCACUGGCUAUAGUCCUUGCUGCUCGCUAGCCGGCUCAUGGCCAUGUCACUCCGUCACUGCUUCCCCAUGGACUGGGGCUUGCUUUCUGUGUAUUUCUCUGCCCCAAUCUCCCUCUCUUUCCUUGGAUAAGGACACCAGUUACUAGAUGGAGGGGUCACCCUAAACCAAGGAUGAUCUCCGGCGGAGAUCCUCUGUCAAGGAUUUGCAGAGACCCUAUUUCCAACGAAGUCCCCACUCUGAGAUUCCCGGUGACCAUAACCUUGGGAGGGGAGCACCAUCUCUACCCGCGACAGGAAGUCCCUUUCCUGGUCUCUGUCCCCUUUCCCUGGCUCUCACUCUAUCCUGACCCCAAGGAGCUGAGAAGUCAUCUGGGGCAUGAGGAACAGGGGCAUUUAUUUAUUAACAGGGGCUGUUAUUUAUAGCGACACUGUGCUGGCAUCACAUAGCCGGGGCGAGAGCCAGGCUCAACCACCUGUACGAUGGCAGGCAGGCAUCAGAACAAACACUAAAACCUGCAGCGCUGGGACUGGGAACCAGGGCCACCAGGCUCAGGCUCCGGCGGAGGCUCGUCUGACUAAUGAGGCUGAAUGUGACAUAUCAGAUUUUUUGUCCCCCCCCGUCCUGGGGUAAUGUCUACCCUCGCCAUCUUAAUCAGCUCUGCCAGGACCGUUCGUUCAGCCCAGUCCCUUCUUUUCUCAUUUGCGUCUGUUACUUCUAGGUUGAAAAAACACCCGACACUCCCUUCUGCUGUGUUCCUUUCUGGGAGCUGGGUCCCGCGGGAGUGCGGCAGUGCCUGUUCCUCAAAGGCACACAGACACAAAAGGUUUGCUCUGGGCGCUGCCGGCUGGACCCAGGGGUGCCGCCCCCGUGCCAGGCUCACAUUCAGGCUGGAUGAGCUCUGCUUUGGGGAAUGCUGUUAGAGGUCAUGGACAUGUGUCUAGGACGCCCUGAGAUCUUGCAGCCCGUGGCGAGAAGGCGGUGGUGCUGAGCCAGCCAGGGCACAAAAGCAGAGGGCGACCCGCAGAAGGGUAUGUUGGGCGAAGGGGCAAAGCUGAGCUUGUGCUCUGCAGAGCUGGGGUGGGGACAUAAUUGCCAGUUUCAUCUCCUACAGGUAUUGAUUCAAGUCCACCCAAAUGAUACUCACGCACACACAAAGCUAUUGCCCUGACGGAUGAAGGCGCGAGACACCGGUGGCAUUUGCCUGCCUUUCUGGAAAUAGAUACCUCAGCAAACGUGAUAAUCACAGUGAUUGUGGGGAUGGCGCUGUGCGUAUGUGGUGAUUUUCUUUAUAGGGUCAGAAAUGAUGGAAGUUCUGCUUCCCCUCCUCCCCUCAGCUUACAGGGAAUAUUCAUGCUUUUAUUCUCUGGGCUGGGGUCUCUACCUUCAGAAUCCUGUCCCUCCCAAGCUCUACCUGGUAGCAGAUUGGAUGGGUAGUAGGACUGGAAAGCAUUGAUUUGAAGGCGUAGCCCUCUGGUCUCCCCAUCUGGAUGGAGCAGAUGGGUGGUUAGCUCACAGAAUCAGUCUGUUUUACCCCCCCCCCCAUGCAUGCCUGCAUCCGUCCACUCAGCAUUUUCUGAGCAUGGGCCACUCAGAACUUGAAUGCUCGCUGUGGGUCCACCAGGGGUAGGGAAUGAGCCAGGAGCUAGGAAGACAGCGUCCAGCAAGGCAGGUGGUUACAAGAGCAAUGGUUCCCCCCGCCACGGUGCAGGCUUUGGGGAUGUAAAGCAGGGUGGCCUGAGAAAGGCUGGGAGGAUGGAAGAGAAAACUGAAAGAACGUGACUUCAGGCACAGACCCAAAUAAUAACCAGGAGCACAAGAGGAGAAGAAGAGAAUAACAUUUUGGAUGCAGGUGUCAGUAGGGCAAAGGUUAAGAAAGCUGGAUUAGUCAGGGUAGGCUAGGGGAUGCCGCUAAAAAAAAAAAAUGAUUCAGUGUCAUCACUGGGGGUCUUGAUGACUGAAAGAAUGAGGCAGGGAGUCCGCAUGAGAAACAGAUGGAGAGGGUAGGGUGCUGGCUUUGCACAGGGAGGAGGGGGUCACGAGGCAAGGCAUGAAGGCCUCUGGUAGAAACUGCAAAACGUCGCAGAGGAUCCUUCCACUGGCCCUUCCACAGGGAAGGGGUUCCAGGAACUAGGACAGAUUCUGUUUUCCAUGCACAGGGUUUGAGGCGGAGAUGGACGGUGGGCAGCGGGAGGUAGGUACAGAGUCCAUAAGCCAGGUCUAGGCUGAGGUUGAGGAUUUCGGCGCAAGGAUCUCCAUGCAUGUGUGACUUUCCGCUGGCUGCAGGGAAGCGGAUGGUUCCAUCCCUACAGGAACACCCAUCAACCGUGCUUUGGCGUCCUUCUCACAGCAGCAGACGUGGAAGCUGUUGGGGGCUCGAAGGAGCACGGAGGAUGCGAGACUACUUGGGAGGCAGUGAUACAUACACACCAAGCUCUGUAUUAGGUUCUUGAGGUACACCCCCACUGUCCUAGGGUGGCUUCCAAUAUUUCAACCUAUCGGCCAUUCUUUUUCCGUCUAGACCAAGAUUUCCUAGCCUCCUAAAAAUGCACUGUCAAGUCCUCUGCAUCUUCAACACCAGAAGAACGCCUUGUGGUUUUGAGAGCCUGGCUGCCAUCAGUGACGUGAGGAAGAGAUUCCUGGGGAGUCCAGCAGAGCCAGAAUCAACACGGCAGCAGGUGUGGAAGGCAGCAGACCAGAGCUAUGCUGGAGAGGCUGCAAAGGAGAAAAUGCUGACUUGGGUAUUGGUCCAUGGCCACAAGAUCAGCAGGUGGGAUGUCUUCUCCAGUUUUGAUGUGGUGCUUCAUGGCUGAUUCCAGGUUUGCUGAUACUGAACGGAGGCUUGCACCCUAGCUGGUCCAUGCACUGAUUCACUUCCAUGCAAAUUCUAAGCAGGGAAGGAGGCUGGGCACACACACACAUCUGUUUAUACCCACUGCCAUCAACACGUGUGACAGUACUUUGUAUAUUCUCCGGGCCCUUUCAGCUUGGGCAGCCACUCAGUCUCCUGUUAGCCACGAUCACCAGCAAGCCCAGUUGUCUAAUAACUAACUCGACCUGAUCGUUAAGAUUCCUCACCUUAGCCUUCUCCAUCUAUGAAUUUGUAGACCUUGAAACCUGCAUGUUCUAAGGUGGUCAGCAUUUCCUCAUCCUACAACAAAAUUAGCAGAAAGAGGAGAAAGAGGGGAGGAAUUUUCUUUCCUCUAGGGCAAGAGUUUCCAAACUCUGGCACUAGCCAAACCCAGCCUGCUGCUUGCUGUCUUUUGUAAAUAAAGUUUUAUUAGCAUGAAGCCAAGUCCCAUUGUUUAUAUAUUGCCUGUGGUUGCUUUCGUUCUGCAACAAGAGAUGUGAGAAAUUACGAAGGGGCUCUCUGGCCCUCAAAGCCUCAAACCUUCACUAACUGGCCCUUUAUAGAAACUGUCUGCGGAUAUCCUCUAUAGGGAAUCAAGUCUUGGGGUGCAAAGAGUGUCACUAAACAGAUGCCUCCUCUGUGAUGUGCUUCAGAUACAGCUGUUUCAUAGCUUCAUAGUUGUUAUGAUGUGAGUUGAAUAACCAAAUAACAGCAAAUCUCAAGACCCUCGUGAGCACUUAGGAGUAGAAAGAACGAAAAAGGCAUACCAGGAGCAAUGGACAGAGGCAGAAAGACUGAGUUCUACCCCAAAGAAGAACAAAAUACUGAGGAAAAAAAAAACACCCAUUCCCAUAAGUUAAAUCUCUUCCCCACCUGUAAGAUGUCCACCUGCACCAUGAGAUAUAACCCUCUAGCUAUGUGCAGAUACGCCCACAGUCCUCAGAAUUUACAUCUGUCUUCUGACUCCAGUUUCAUCCUCCAACAUUUUUCUCAGUGAUAUGAAACUAAUUAAGUCUAAUGUCUUUGCCGUUCUUGGAAAAGAUUAUUGUUUUAACCACAUCUAAUAACACCUUAUGUGCUGUCCGCACUGAAGAAAAAAAUAUAUUCUCAUCUGAAAACAUGGAUGAAUAUUCUGCUCCAAAGUGGGGGUUCAUUUUCUGCCUAGAGAGCUGCCAUUUAAAAACAAUAUAGGAUAAUGUGAGAAAAAAAAUGUAUGCAUGCAUGUGUGUAGGACUGGGUCACUUUGCUGUACAGCAGAAAUUGACAGAUUGCAAAUCAGCUAUAACAAAAAUCUUAAAAAGUAAAACAUAGAAACGAUUUCACAUCCGUUAUGUGAGUAUAGAUUUUCACACAGCCCACUCUAGCCUUUUUACGAGAGUGGUCUUCCAGGCUGCAUACGUAUCUUUCUGGGACAUGGGCGGCAUGAAAAGAUUUCUGUAUUUAUGCGGGUCAGACCUACCCUUUUUGAUGCUUCUAAUUAGUGAAGAUCUGGUGAAUACAUUUCACAGUGGUUUCUAAUUGAUAUCCAUGUUGGAGUGUCUGUUAUGUCAAUCCUGAGCUCAGCGGAUGUCAGCUCCGAGAACUUCGUAGAUAGCUUUUCUUUUUUUCUUUCUUUUUUUUUUUUUUUGGUAUUCUCCUAGCUCCUGCUUCAUGCAUGAUAAUACUCUUCAAUAAUGCAAAAUCGUACAAUAGCUAUUCUUCAGCGCCAGACCUUAACAACCAAAAUCUUUAGCACUGGAUUCAGGCAGCAUUACACGUUCCACAUUUUACAAGGUCAUGGAGUUAAUAGUCACAUCCAUUUUUCUUCAUUUGUCUUGAAUGUUCUAACGGUUGUAUAUGACCAGACCAUCAAAAUUUUCCUAUUAAAAUGCAUAUUAGAAUAUUUAAUAAUAGGGUAAAAAAAUUUUUUUUCUAUUUCUGGAAAACGUACAGUUGGGUUUCAUUAGUCAAUGAAGAACGCAUUUACUCGGUGCAAAGAAGAAAGCGGUCACAGACAAAUGUGCAUGGGGCCUGGGUUUGGAAGACGAAGGUGAAAAGCAGAACAGCAAUGUCAGGAGUUCCUGUUGGGGUACAGUGGGUUAAGGAGCCUGUGCUGCCCCCUCCCCUGUAGCGUAGGUUGCAGCUGCGGCUCGGGUUCAAUCCCUGGCCUGGGAACGACCAUAUGCUGUGGAGAAGGUCAAAAAAGAAAAACAAGAAACAGCAGUGUCUACUGUAACAUUAGAGUAAAACAGACAAAGGUAGAGUUAACACAGAGCAGAGACCAAAUCUUUUUCACCAAGGCUGCCUUAGGCACACAAAUGUGCCCAAGUCACUCCUCACACAGUAAACUUACUCUGCUGUCCAUUGCUCUUUUAUGUUUUCAAAAAUAAAUUCUUUUUUUUUUUUUUUUGUCUUUUAUCUUCUUAGAGCAGCACUCACAGCAUAUGGAGGUUCUCAGACUAGGGAUCUAAUUGGAGCUGUAGCCACUGCCCUAUGCCAGAGCCACAGCAAUGCAUCUGUGACCUACACCACAGCUCACGGCAACACUGGAUCCUUAACCCAUGGAGCAAGGCCAGGGAUUGAACCUGCAACCUCAUGGUUCCUAGUCGGAUUCAUUUCUGCUGUGCCAUGAUGGGAA
This 6114-nucleotide long non-coding RNA is filed under the name Sus scrofa (pig). Its description in RNAcentral is "lncRNA (ENSSSCG00000063460.1)". The record is from RNAcentral. Lineage: Eukaryota; Metazoa; Chordata; Mammalia; Artiodactyla; Suidae.